Macaca mulatta (Rhesus monkey) is the source of this 1609-nucleotide long non-coding RNA. RefSeq lists it as uncharacterized. The record is from RefSeq and is a predicted model, not a curated record. NCBI's taxonomy places the organism in Eukaryota, Metazoa, Chordata, Mammalia, Primates, Cercopithecidae.
GAAAGGGGAGAUACGUGGGAAGCAUUCAAACCAGAGCAACUCCAUUUUGAGUAAGGGCUAAGAAAAAUGAAGCUGGAUCACCAACUGGCAAUUAAGGGCUGCAUAACCUGAAAUUGCCUUGCCCAAUUAAUUUAAAAAAGAGGUCACCUUAUGCUAGUAAUAAUGAUAGUAGCUGUGGUGGUUUUACAAAAAGAGAAGCAGGGCAUGUUGGGAGAAAAGCUGAGUGUUGGGAAAGAAGCUGAGGCAGGGCUUGCAUGUCUGCUAGACUUUAGCUCCUUGCCUCUAGCACUCCCAUUAUCUCAAGCAGCCAUGUUUCUCAUUCACUUGAUACACUGUUUCCUUUCAACCCCCACAUCCUCACCACCUGUUUCUUUGUUUGAGCACCAAUAAACAGUGUGGGCUCCCAGAGGUGGGGGCCUUCACAGCCUCCCCACUUGCGAUGGCCUCCUGGUCCCACUUUUUCUCUCAAACUCUUUUUCUCAUUCCUUUGACUCCACCAGACUUCAUCGCCCCCAGGACCUGGUGUUGGAUCUGAUCACCCCAACAAAACCAAAGCUGUGGCAGGAAGACUGCUCUGCCUAUGACAGAACGAGGAGACUGGAGGAAAGUGUGCAUGGCUGGCAACUGACCUCAUGGGUGCCCAGUGGUGAUGCCCAGGAGAGGGAAUGGAAUCCUGGAGCUGGGAGUGAGGUUGGAGCUGGAAGAACCAAGACCCAGGGAGACAAGAGUAUUCCUGGGGACAAAUAGGAACAGCUGAGCGAGGCAAGGCUGAGCCCCGGGCAGGCGUGGGGUGGGUGGGGGGACAUGCCUGGCUAGAGGGCGGCAGCAGGAAAGCAGAGAAGGCAUCCCUGCAGGUUGGCCCUGGAGCAGAGUGCUGGGUCCCAGCAAGGGACAAGUUAGUUAACUUAAAGUGGGGGCAUCCUCAAGGCAGUAAACUGGAGCCAAGUGGGUUAAAUCCUUCUUGCUGCUAUUAAGAGGAGGAGACAGGUUUCUGCAGAUUCUACAUUUUGGAGAGAAACAAAAAAGAAUGUCCCCAAGUCUCCUUUGCCCUGCGAUGCUGGGCCAGAUUGGCAAGGUCUCAAGAGAAGCACAACGGUGACCGACGCUGACGCUGCCCUUGGCUGAACUUCUGUUAAAUCCUUCGGAUAGACGCUGGAAUCCACUUUGGUCUGUGGUUCGACACCCGUGCAACGUGUUGAGGAGGAGCCACCUCCUCCAAGUACCGAAAGCCGGCCCAGAAAUGCCUUCCAAUCCCUCGGUAUCGCGGCUCCCGGGAUCCGAUGCUGGGGAGCUGCUUCUGUCCAAUCAGGCUUUGCAUCCCGGGACGCUUCCGGUUAUGGCGUCAUUACGCAGCCUGUGGCGUCUCAUUCUAAAAGACGUGAUCGCGCGGAGGCUUGUGUGGUUCCCCGUUGGCCUAAUGGAUACAGCGUUGGACUUUUUUAGGGUUUGGGCUCUGGGUUCGAACCACGUUUGUGGUGGCGUAGCCUAGCUGCAGAAAGCUGAUCUUUUGAGAUCCAUUUUAAUAGAAGUAAUUUUUUUAAAAAAAGUUAUAACGUAAAAAACAAAAACCAACUGGCACGUUUUGUCUUUUUAACAUCAUUUACCUUUA